Molecule: ribosomal RNA, 433 nt
Filed under: uncultured bacterium
Lineage: Bacteria
Description: partial 16S ribosomal RNA
Rfam family: Bacterial small subunit ribosomal RNA
Source: RNAcentral
AACGAACGCUGGCGGCAUGCCUAACACAUGCAAGUCGAACGAUCCCUUCGGGGAUAGUGGCGCACGGGUGCGUAACGCGUGGGAACCUGCCCUUAGGUUCGGAAUAACUCAGAGAAAUUUGAGCUAAUACCGGAUAAUGUCUUCGGACCAAAGAUUUAUCGCCUUUGGAUGGGCCCGCGUUGGAUUAGCUAGUUGGAGGGGUAAAGGCCUACCAAGGCGACGAUCCAUAGCUGGUCUGAGAGGAUGAUCAGCCACACUGGGACUGAGACACGGCCCAGACUCCUACGGGAGGCAGCAGUGGGGAAUAUUGGACAAUGGGCGAAAGCCUGAUCCAGCAAUGCCGCGUGAGUGAUGAAGGCCUUAGGGUUGUAAAGCUCUUUUACCCGGGAUGAUAAUGACAGUACCGGGAGAAUAAGCCCCGGCUAACUCCGUG